GGUGAUAUAUUUUAAAAAAAAUACCUCCUUGCAAAGGUGGAGUUACAAUUCCAAGUUAUCACUU
This 64-nucleotide transfer RNA is filed under the name Tetraclita rufotincta. RNAcentral's name for it is "tRNA-Cys". Lineage: Eukaryota; Metazoa; Arthropoda; Thecostraca; Balanomorpha; Tetraclitidae. The record is from RNAcentral.